UACAUGCAAGUCGGACGGGAUUGGAGAGCUUGCUUUCCAUGAGAGUGGCGCACGGGUGCGUAACACGUAUGUAACCUACCUUGUUCAGGGGGAUAGCCUCUCGAAAGAGAGAUUAAGACCGCAUAACAUUACAAUGUGGCAUCACAAAGUAAUCAAAUAUUUAUAGGAACAAGAUGGGCAUGCGGAACAUUAGCUAGUUGGUGAGGUAACUGCUCACCAAGGCUACGAUGUUUAGGGGAUCUGAGAGGAUGACCCCCCACACUGGUACUGAGACACGGACCAGACUCCUACGGGAGGCAGCAGUAAGGAAUAUUGGUCAAUGGGCGCAAGCCUGAACCAGCCAUGCCGCGUGCAGGAAGACGGCCCUACGGGUUGUAAACUGCUUUUGUACCGGAAUAAACCUCUUUACGUGUAAAGAGUUGAAUGUACGGUAAGAAUAAGGAUCGGCUAACUCCGUGCCAGCAGCCGCGGUAAUACGGAGGAUCCAAGCGUUAUCCGGAUUUAUUGGGUUUAAAGGGUGCGUAGGCGGUUCUUUAAGUCAGGGGUGAAAGACGGCAGCUUAACUGUCGCAGUGCCUUUGAUACUGAAGAACUUGAAUACACUAGAGGUAGGCGGAAUGUGACAAGUAGCGGUGAAAUGCAUAGAUAUGUCACAGAACACCAAUUGCGAAGGCAGCUUACUAUGGUGUCAUUGACGCUGAGGCACGAAAGCGUGGGGAUCAAACAGGAUUAGAUACCCUGGUAGUCCAC
Molecule: ribosomal RNA, 749 nt
Filed under: Sphingobacteriaceae bacterium SP4AG4
Lineage: Bacteria; Pseudomonadati; Bacteroidota; Sphingobacteriia; Sphingobacteriales; Sphingobacteriaceae
Description: bacterial SSU rRNA
Rfam family: Bacterial small subunit ribosomal RNA
Source: RNAcentral